RNAcentral lists this ribosomal RNA (484 nucleotides) under uncultured bacterium. RNAcentral describes it as "partial 16S ribosomal RNA". It matches the Rfam family "Bacterial small subunit ribosomal RNA", at positions 30 to 507 of the family's 1533-position model. The record is from RNAcentral.
AUUGAACGCUGGCGGCAUGCCUUACACAUGCAGGUCGAACGGCAGCGCGGGAGCAAUCCUGGCGGCGAGUGGCGAACGGGUGAGUAAUACAUCGGAACGUGCCCAAUCGCGGGGGAUAACGCAGCGAAAGCUGUGCUAAUACCGCAUACGAUCUACGGAUGAAAGCAGGGGAUCGCAAGACCUUGCGCGAAUGGAGCGGCCGAUGGCAGAUUAGGUAGUUGGUGAGGUAAAGGCUCACCAAGCCUUCGAUCUGUAGCUGGUCUGAGAGGACGACCAGCCACACUGGGACUGAGACACGGCCCAGACUCCUACGGGAGGUAGCAGUGGGGAAUUUUGGACAAUGGGCGAAAGCCUGAUCCAGCCAUGCCGCGUGCAGGAUGAAGGCCUUCGGGUUGUAAACUGCUUUUGUACGGAACGAAACGGUCUUUUCUAAUAAAGAAGGCUAAUGACGGUACCGUAAGAAUAAGCACCGGCUAACUACGUG